GUUGUUGUAGUAUAGUGGUGAGUGUCCCUGUCUGUCACGCGGGAAACCCGGGUUCGAUCCCCGGCAACGGCG
Molecule: transfer RNA, 72 nt
Filed under: Ipomoea nil (Japanese morning glory)
Lineage: Eukaryota; Viridiplantae; Streptophyta; Magnoliopsida; Solanales; Convolvulaceae
Rfam family: tRNA
About the family: Transfer RNA (tRNA) molecules are approximately 80 nucleotides in length.
Source: Rfam by way of RNAcentral